Molecule: ribosomal RNA, 131 nt
Filed under: Clostridioides difficile
Lineage: Bacteria; Bacillati; Bacillota; Clostridia; Peptostreptococcales; Peptostreptococcaceae
Description: partial 23S ribosomal RNA
Rfam family: Bacterial large subunit ribosomal RNA
Source: RNAcentral
UCAAGAUAAGAUUUCCCACCGCAAGGGUAAGACUCCAGAAAGACUAUCUGGUUGAUAGGUCGAAGGUGUAAGUGCAGCAAUGUAUUUAGCUUAUCGAUACUAAUAGGUCGAGGACUUGACCAAUAUUUAUU